AACGUAGGAGACAAACGUUAUCCGGAGUUACUGGGCGUAAAGGGCGUGUAGGUGGUUUUGUAAGUUCGGCGUGAAAUCUCUCGGCUUAACCGGGAGUGGUCGUCGGAUACUGCAAGACUAGAGGACGGUAGAGGCGUGUGGAAUUCCGGGUGUAGUGGUGAAAUGCGUAGAGAUCCGGAGGAACACCAGUGGCGAAGGCGACACGCUGGGCCGUACCUGACACUGAGGCGCGAUAGCAUGGGGAGCAAACAGG
This 253-nucleotide ribosomal RNA is filed under the name uncultured bacterium. RNAcentral describes it as "partial 16S ribosomal RNA". It matches the Rfam family "Bacterial small subunit ribosomal RNA", at positions 524 to 776 of the family's 1533-position model. The record is from RNAcentral.